AUGCAUGUUUUUAAGAAGGGUCUGUCUGUGUUGCAUCUAGAUGUGAGAUACUAUCUCACAUCUAGGUGUGACGUCACUUACGAAAACAAAGACAAAACACUCCUGAUCCCGAUCCCCGCGCGUGACUUGUUUGUUUUGUUCUCGGCCUGCAUUGUUUUGUUCGUCCCACCCAACCCACCCAGUCCAGCUACCUGUCUGCUGGGCCUUGUUUAUGGCCUUUGUUUGUUCUGGGCCUUGUUUGUUGCUCUUUUUUUCUGCCAACACAGCCAGCCCAACUACCCCACCUCCUGCGCCUUGUUUGUGGCCUUUGUUUGUUCUGGGCCUUGUUUGUUGCUCUUUUUUUCUGCCAACACAGUCAGCCCAACUACCCCACCUCCUACUUUUUUGCCUGUUUGUUUGUUCUGGGCCUUGUUUGUUGCUCUAGAAAAAGGUUGCUAG
This 438-nucleotide ribosomal RNA is filed under the name Triticum aestivum (bread wheat). RNAcentral's name for it is "partial small subunit ribosomal RNA". Lineage: Eukaryota; Viridiplantae; Streptophyta; Magnoliopsida; Poales; Poaceae. The record is from RNAcentral.